AGUGCCAGUCAGGCUGCUGAGGGGACAGCGAGGUGAGGGGGGCUCUGCUGAGCGGUGAACAGAGUUGUGAGGGGCAGCUCCCUCAGAGGGGUGCAGGGGGAGAACAGGAGGAGGGCUGAGGAGCAUCUGCUGGGAGAAGGUUCUAGAACUGGCAGGAUGCGGCUGGGAGCUGCAGCAGGGGCAGGUGGCUCAUCAGAGCUUCAGGUCAGUCCCUGUACUGUCAGUAAGACUUGAAUCUUGACUGAAAGACUUGAAGAAUGACUGAAGAAGAUGGUGGUAGAGAGGAAGAGGCAGCCAUCUUCUCUUGCGCUCUGCUUAGUAGUUCUGAACUAUGCAACCAGGGAGAAGUAGGUCUCUGCUAUCAAGUAUCUAUUUUCUGAGUAUGAAUUCUGUGCCUGCAAUGUAAAAUCCUACACCAGUGUUUGCUGCUGCUUCUGUCCUUGAUGUCUCCCUCCUGCAGUGAGUAGGCACCUGGAUCUUUUCACAGUCUCCUCUAAAAUUUAACAAUAAUUUACCCUGACUGCAAUGGUAGGUGAGCCAGGCUGAUCCUGAAGACCACUGAAAAUAUUGUUGACAUGGAUCUAUACUCAACUUCAAAUUAUUCAGACUAUAAUUUGCUGCAUCUUGAGCAUCCUGGCUCUCUGAUUUCCCAGUCCUGCAUCCCAAAUGAAAGAGAGAGAGAAGGAGGAGGCUAUCGGUGAAUGCAUUUUUCCCCCCAGUGUGCUGUGGAAGAUGAUGGCUUACUGCUACUGCAAGAAAGCAUGGAGCUGACUUAAGAAAAACUGUAAUGUAUAAAUUAUGUAUUCAGAAAGGAGCACUUAUUUAAAGAGCACCUGAAGAAUUUUUCCAUCACAAAAGGCUGUCAGGUUAUGGCAGAACUGGAAAUGUACAGAAAUUAAAGUUCAUAACGGAACUCCAGAUCAGUUUGCAAAAUAGGGUAGUUGAUAAUGCAGCAGUUUUGAAAUGCAAAAGAACAGCAUGUCAUUUCCUUCCCAGUGUUGGUGGGUUUGCAAGAAGAGUUACAGUUGCUCAUUCUAAUGAGGUCAUCGGGCUGGAUCUGCUCGAAUUUCCUGUGCUAAACAGGACGAGACUGGACCUACCUUUAAUCUACUUGGAUCUUCAGACUUUUUGCUGUUGCCUAUAAAUGAAGUAAACCUGAAAGUAGUUCCUCUGUUAUUCAUGUUCCAGUCUGGGUGAUUUCAAGGUUCACAGGUGCCAAAACAGGCUGGGAUCUUAAAAGUAAGUCACACUGACAAAUGAAGUGUGCAAACACAGGUAUGUAAUGUCAUAGAUGUGGAAAUCAAUGCUGCAGUCUCAGUCAAAACUUGAGAAAUGUAAGUUACAUUGAAUGGUAUUUUUUCUUUGUAAAUUUUCUACACAUUCACCAAACAAACAAACAAACAACAACAAAAAAAAAACAUACAAUCCCUCUCCAAAAUGGAAACUAGAACAAUAUAAUGAAUGAAAAUUAUCUCUAAGUUCAGAUAAUUAGAUAGGAGGGAUAAUUGAGGCCAGAAAUACAGUUUCAUUUUUGGUAACCUAUUAGCUAAGUUUUUUUUUUUUUUUAACAGUAAUAUGUUGUAAUUAAGAUAAAAGAUUAUCCUUUUAUUUUACUCUCUCCCAAACAUUAAUACAAACAUAAUCUAUUAUAUUUUAACUGUAAGUUGUUCCGUGAAUUAAUUUUGGGUAGAAUAAUUUUUAUAGCUUUUGCUGCAAUCAAACUAGCAGACAUUUGUUUUCAAGUCACUAUGAAGAGUUUAGGAUCAGAUGGCUCUUGCUACAUAUUAAAGUGAUCUUCAUGGUUCUAGUGGACAAUUCUACAUUGAAAUCUACUUUUUAUGUAAUUACAUACUUGGUCAUUCCAACGCUAAAUGGAAAAACAUAUAAAGCUGUACCUUUAUAGUAGCUAGUGCUACUUCCAUUAUUGCACACUGCCUCAGCGUCAGGCUUUUGGCAUCAUCUCGAAUCACAUGGUCCUGCAAAAGGAGUUAAGAACGUAGCUUUUUAUGAAAGAGAGACAGCAUUGUGGCCUGUCUACUUUUCGAAAAGCAGAACUUUCAAAUACUCCCUAAACUCUUAUGUUUAACAGGGAUUAAUUCUACUUCAGGAUUAUUUUAGAACAAAUUACAACCUAAAGCAACUGUUGUUCCUUGAAAACAGAGACUGUAAGGAAAAAGAUCCAAUUCUUAAUACUCAGUACCUGCAUCACUUUCUUUAAUUACUAGAAUAUAUUUGUGUUCUGUGAAACAGGUGAGUACGUACAUUUUCAGACCAAAAAAUUCUAUUGGAUGUUACUGAAACAAUUCAUCGUAGUAAAGAACUUGAAAUGUUAACUAAUGUUGGUUAAUGCCCCAUGUUAUUUAUAAUAGCUAAAAAGGGUUCUUACUACAACACCAGUUAAAUAGAAUCAUAAACUAACUAUGUUCCUGUGAACUUUAUCUAAUAUAAGCAUCCUGUGACUACUUAAGCUUCAUUUUUACUCCAACAAACUCAGUCAUUAUUUAUAGAAGCACAAUUUUCUGCAUUUUAUGUCAAUUCUGAAGUGAAAUUGGAAAAUUGAUUAGUAAACAACUGACAGUAUCAAACAUCUCAGGCCUCUCCGAAAUAACUGUAUGGACUUCAGUGAUGUGGUGCCAAUGAGUUCGUUGCAGAGGUAUAAGUCAUUUUUCAAUACCUAUUUUCAGUAAUAUGCUGAACAAGUACUCCUAUCUUAAUUUUUUAUCAUCAUUUAUUCUUAAUCUAUUUGGAUGAGACUGAAAAAUCAUUACUCAUCUAUGAACAGCUACUGCUAUGUUCAAGUUUAUUACAGUAAAUAAGAGUAAGAAUUUUGGCCUCACAGUUACCAAUACCUCAUCUGGUUUCCUGUUAGAGCAAGCCAUUCACUGUUUCAGUUGGUUACAUUACCUUGAGUUUUGAGAGUUGUCCAAGAUCUUUGGCUGCACUGAAUAUCAUCUGGGGCCCCUGCAAUCACAUUGAAAAUUCAGAAACCAGAAUCAUUAGAGUGUAGUUGCUUUGUAUGUCCACGUAUCUUGUUUUCUGCUAGGACAUUAUCCAAAAUCACUGUUUUGCAAAGCUAAAUGAAAAGUUAAAUUACACUUGAGACACAUUUAUAAUUUUGAUAAGAAGUAGUUGAAUCCCUUCAGCAUGAUACUUGAUACAAAUCAAAUAUUGACUUUCCAAUAGCGGUUUCUUGUGCUCCUGUCUGCUAUCUAAUUUUGUCUAAUUUUUUUAAGCUAAGGCUAUGCAGUGUGUCAAUGUCAACAUGUCCAUAAGUAAGUGCUAUGCUAAUAUAGAUAAUCACAAUGGGAAGUGAACAGCCUGAAGAACCUGCAAAAGCUUACCUCAUUGUCCAGAGUGAAAUCCUUAGUUGUGUAACACAUAGGAUAGUGAUCUAGCAUUAUGCCAAAGCUAACUUUUUUAAAGGUACUGUACUGUUAUGAAUUUAAACCCAUAUUUUUACAAAGCCAAAUACUGGCAAGAUACCAAAGGACGGUGACUAACUCUUUGCGUGAAAUAAACAGCAUCCUACUAUAUAAUUUUAUGAUCACUGUUUUAUCACAAGUACUCCAAGAAACAUAAUUACUAGUGCAGUUACUUAGCAGCUCAGCAAGACAUAGCUCUGGAUGUCUGGAUUUCAGGAGAACAAAAUCAAUACAAAUUACAUAGUGUAACAUAAAGCAAUUUUUCAUUAGUAUUUUCUGUUCCUAAAGGUUUCUGUUUCCAGAUCUUGUUUCACUGUACAUAUGCAAUAUAGGACUACAAAUAUAGAGCUACAUCUCAAAUUUUCAUUAUUUAUUAGUAGGCAGAAGAGUAAGAUAAAUGAGAUAAUUAAAAAAUAAACUCCAGUUUCUGAAUGCCUCUCACCCUCAGAGAGAAAGUAAUACUCAAAGCUGCAGAAAAUGGGAAAUCUCUUCUACAGUAUCCUACCUUUCAUUGAUUUUAAUUGUGUUCUCAGUUGUAACUAGAAGUAGCAAAACAAAUGGAGCAGUCUCUGCUUCUUCUCUACCCCUCCUCUGUUCUGUGUUCCAGAUGUCCACCCACAGCUUAAUAAAGUAUCCGCUUGCUAAACAAGCUGUUCUGAAAUGGGAUGUAACUAUCAUCACCAGUUACUGCUUGGUGUGAUUCUGAACAUUAGUAAAGACAACACUGGUGCUCACAAAUUGUAGAAGAUAAACAGAAAUGUGUAUGCAGUUGGCAGUGAGAGGUUAUUUUUGCUGUAGUUAGUAGACAAGUAAUUAAUUUUUAAAUAGAGGUCAAUUUUCAAGCUGUUCAGGGGAAAUAUGUCCAAAAACGUUGUUUUAUAAUCCUAACUAACUGAUACAUCCCAUACCCCAAGUGGGCUUACUCAGCCUUAGAUUGGUAAUUCUGCAUUCUUGGUAACCAAUUAAAAAGAGCAGCAAAAAUGCUCAACUCUGAACCACACUGUUCUGUGAUUCAUGGUGUAACAACUGGUGUUGCAUAAAGCAAAUAAAUGAUAGCAAAACUCCUGCUUGAAAAUGUUACCACAUUAAGCACUUACACCAAAGUAAAUAAGUUUUACACCAAAAUUUUAGAAAAGCAAGUUCAAAAAUACCUAAAAUAUAAAAUUGACAUGGACAGUGAAGGACAGCCUGAUUCUGAUUGUGCGUAUGUAACAACUACUAACAGAUUCAGCAAAUGGAGGCCUGGCUGGGCUGGCAGAAUUAGCUUUACUCUAAAAUUACUAAAAGCUCAUAUUUCAUUUCUACCUUAGCACGAUCUUCCCAUAUUGUGUUAGGUUUCCCCCCUGCCCUUCAGCGAUUUGAUUUCAUACCGAAUUUAUUAGAACCUUUAUACACUUACAGUUUGGUCUGUCAGUGGUGGAAGCACAAUUUGUUUUUCUAUUCUGUUCAAGACUAUCUUCCACAACUCCUUUAAAACCCGUUUCAGAACUGUCUUCUCACAGAUUUUUGCAGAGAGGCUUAAACUGGAACAAAAGAAAACACAAAUGAGUCUCCAAAACCAGCAUUGAGACUUCAGAGGUGCUGUGUCACUGUAUCUUCAGAUCAGUGGCCAUUGUGGCUAAGCAUUUCUGUACCAAUAAUAGUUAUUUCACACUUUUAUAAAUAAAUAUUUUUGAUUAGUAGAAGGUUUUCAGAUUAGAAAACCAUAUAAAUCCUGACUAACCCUCUAGUAGCACAUAACCCUUGAGUAAAUUAACCUGUAGGGCUGGGUAGACUGCCAGAAGUAAAACACACAAAUUUAGCAGCUACAAUUUUUCUUUUUUUUGCCAGGUUGGGAAACUGUGUGCUGUACUCAACAGUAUUACAAUAGUCAACUCUUAUCAUAAACACUUUAAAUAAGUGCAGCUCUUAGUAGUAACGCAGAGAAGUAUUUUGGAAUUCCAGUGUCUGCCUUCAGCAUAGAGCCUUACAAAUAACAGAAACACUGUUGCUUUUUUGCCUUUUUAACUAACUUACAGUGCCAAAAACAAACACUCCUUCCCACUCCCAGGGCAGAGAAUGUGCAGAGCUGGCCAGAGCAAAAAACAUUCACAGAUGAGAGAGAGUGCAGAGCCUGGGAUGAAACAGACCUCAGAGGCUACCAGGAAUACUGAACCUAUUCUGCUGCCUCAGUCUCUCCAGACGAGGACUUAGCAGGACAGUCUUAACAAGCAUUCCACAAACGAGGGAUUUCUAUCUCAUAUAAUGGCUCCUGGAAGCCACUGGCUUCCCUGAGCCUGUUCUCUGCUCAGCACCUUCCUCAAAUCUUCUCAGCACAGCUCCAACUUUAACACCAGUGCUAUUCAACCAAUUCCUCCUAGUUAUGCUUCUUGUUCUACUUUACUUUAAGCAAGAAAGAUACUCCCUCAUCAGCAUCCUCAGCACUCCUUUUUCUACCUUCACGUUGAAAAUGUCUGCCUUGGAGAAAUAUACAUGAAGAGCCAAAGUGUUAAAAUGGUAACUAACUCACUCAUUUGGUUAAAGGUUAACACAUACAUAUGCAACUCAGGAUCUGAUGCUCAGGAUCAGUAUCAUGCUGCUUAGUCUCAAGGCCACUGCUGUUUCACAAAUGCCAAUAAUGACAUAGAAUUUUAGGGGUUGGAAGGGACCUCUGAAGAUCCACCAGUCCAACCCCCCUGCUAAAGCAGGUUCCCUAGAGCAGGUUACACAGAAAAGCAUCCAGGUGAGUUUUAAAUGUCUCCAGAGAAGGAGACUCCACCACCUCUCCAAGCAGCCAGUUCCAUUGCUCUGUAAACCUCCCAGUAAAGUUUUUCCUCAUGUUCAUAUGGAACUUCCUGUGCUCCAAUUUGUGUCUGUUAUGGCCAAGGACAGCAAGGUGCUUACAGACAGCACAGGCACAUGCCUUUCUGAACAGCUGAUGCCGUUACUACUGGACAAUGAGGAGAGGAGACAUGCUUACUCUCAGGGCCAAUUUGAGUUUGUGUCAUUAUUUACUCAGUGGAAAAAAAGUAUAAAAAUUAAGCUCUUCUGUAAAUCAGUGGGAAUCUUUAAAUGGUGGCUAAGUUUUUAACAUUGUGGAAGUGCUUAUAAAUAAGCAGGGGACACUGUGUGCCAGCCUAGUCCAUAUGCCAAGAAAUUUCAAGAUAUGCAAUAGAGCGUUCAGCACAAUUUUCUUUUUACAAGUGCUUAUGGAGCGCAGAACAGACACAGCUCUGUUACAGUACCUCAGAACACGACAAGAAAUAGAAAGGCAGAUAUACUGCUUAUGGGAAAGUUUCUUAGUGUAAGUAAACGUGAUAAGUGUAGUAUCCUGUACACAUGAGAACACUACAAAUAUUAAAAAUACUGCAAACAGUCUCUAGGUAUUAUCCGUGCUUCAGGGUAAGGCUAAGCAUACAUCUUUAACUCUAGCGCCACAUUUCUAACAUGCCACACACAGUAAUGUGUCACACUUACGUUUUGUCCAGGAAAUCCAUGAGAGGCCGAAGUACAAUCUCUGCAUCAAUGGCUGCGCUGUUCUUGUUGGCUGCUGCGGUCCCAUUUCCUCUCAUUUGAUUGAGUUCAGAGCUCAUUUGUCUUACACAAUCUUCUAUUAUAGACUGGAAACUAUAGGAUAAAGGAAAAAAAAAAAGAGAGAAUUAAAGAAUUCUGGGAGAGAACACAAGACAGUAACCUACUCUAGGGAACCCGAGUUUAGCAAGGAGGUUGGACUGGAUGAUCUCCAAAAAUUCCUUCCAACUCCUACGGUUCUGUGAUUUACGAUUUUGCAUCAGGUUCUUCAUCAAGACUCCUUUUUCUGCAAUGAAAAUGAAUCUUUUCCCAAACAAAACAUACUUCAGGGUGCUACAGACUGAAAACAUCACCUCCUAUGCAUUGUGUAAUCAGUGCAACUAUUGUUUUAUUUUUCUUCUUUCAGUUUUGUCAUUAUGCUUUUCAUGCCCUUGUGGUGAUAUUAAGUAGUUAUUUUCUAGAAGCGACAGAUGUAUUAGACUCUGCAAUUUAGGAUAUGGUAGACUACAACCUGAAAACAACUCCAGAUUUUUUUGUGUGUGUGUGAAAGCAGAGCAGGAAAGGGGACCAGAAAUCAUUUUUUAAAUUUUGUGGCUAAUAUGAAAGAAGCUUUGAUAUUUUUCUUGAGGACAAACAGAAAACAACUCUUCAUUUUGCCCUACUUGGCUCACUUUGACGUUUUCCUGUGUUUCCCACAGUCAAUACUAUCAGCAGCUUUACUUCUUUGCAGUGAGUUGGUGCAGCUAAAACAUUUGAACUGCUUAAAAUAAUCUUUUACCAAAAACCCUAACAUUUAGAAGUUGAUACAGACACCUUUUCUACUUCAAGGUAUGUGUGAACAAGUUGUUGCUCCUCAAGUUGGGUCACUUCAGCUGAUGUGCAAAUCAUUCAGUUUUCUAAUCAAUAUGGUAGACAAAUCUGGGUUACAUUCUGGUGUCACUGAUGUGAUGCAGGCUUCAGUCAAUAUAUUUAAACAGUGCAGAACAACAGUUAUUCAGAAUCAGCAGUUCAGAUGCAGAAUAAGGCCUCUGCACACACAGUACUUUGUUUUAGAAUGUUUGUGAACAGAACUGCAAAACAGAGGCCAUAAUUAUACCGAACCUUUAAAUGUGAAAAGAUAAAUGGCAAAGAUUAACUGUAAAGCUGCUAUUGAAGCUGCUCAUGUAAGUACUUGGGACCAGUCCCUCCAAUAAAAACAGACUUUGCUUAACAAGUACCAUUGCAGCACUAAUCCCUCUUUCUUAGAUUCCUUUCUAAUUUGAAACAAAAAUAACUAGCAGUUUCUCAUAGCAGAGACACACUACUGACUCAGGACUACACCCAUUCAAGAGUUCACUGCACACUGAUUAAUCAAAGAUUCUGAGAAUAAGGCUCUGUCUGCAGACAGUUCUUGCAGAGCCACAGGUCUGCCCAAUUACAAUGACCAUUUGAAGCAGGCUCAACACAGGCAGAUACCUCUGGUUUCCACAGAACAUGUAGAAAAAGAUUUCAGUUUCGGGGGUAACAUAAACAUGGCCAGAGAGAAAAGUUUAAUGUAGCAUCAGGCAAGAACAAACCAGCAAUUUUUGUUUUCUAAAAAGCAGAACAAAAUUUCAGAGCCUCACCUCAGUAACACAUUUGUGCCCACAGACCAUUUUCAGCUUUCCUUGUAGAGAGGUUACUGCUGUAUGUGUCAGUGUCUGACACACAUAUACACACUCACAGAUGGACACUACUUCAUCAGGGCAGGAAUAAACUGUAUCUCAGGACGUAUAAACAGCCACCAAGACAGGCAACGAGGCAGGCUUAUGAACAGAAAUAUAUCUCUAAGAUUUGAAGUAAAGUAAGUGAUUACCUUGUGGCAUACGUUACACUGAGUUCAUCUAAUACGUUGCUAAGUUUUGCUUGAAGUUCUUUUAGAACAGUACUAGCUUCUUGAUCCAACUGCAAAGAGAUAAGUCAUGUUAUAUUUUUCUUAUAAAAUAUAUCUUGGGUUUUCUGUUAAAUUAGCACACUUGGAAUUAUAUGCAAUGAUAUACUGCACUAUGGAAAACCAAAUAUGGAAACACCUGCUACAACACAGGAGUAUUUAAUAAACCUAAAAAUCCAAUUGCCAAUUAAAGUAAAAUAUUUGAUAGUAGCAGUGAAAGGAUUACAAUAUUGGAAAUCAAAACAGUGCCACUGAGCAAUGACCUUCUGUGAGAUGGUGCAAACUGUGGCAGAAUAGAAUUACCACAUCAGGCCAAUGGUAUUUAUAAAGCACAUCUAAAGAAAGAUGCAUGGAGAAUUAGUGCUUGUGUUAAUGUUACUGUUUUUUCUUUUUUAAUUUGGGUGUAUAUUUUACCUAUGGCAUUACUAUUAAUUAAUCUUGUGAUUCCCUUGGAAGAUGUUUCCAUUUUCCCAUUAAUGCAGCAUGAAAAUAGAACAGCUUGGACUGGAAAAGAUGGCUUCAAGACUAUCCAUGCUGCUUCUAUUGAUACAGCACGAAGGAAAGGGAUCCACUGUAUUUCAGUGUUUCUAUAUCUAAAAGCCAUUAAGACAUAAAUAAUUCAAGCUCAGCGCAACACAUUCUGAUGUACAGGGAGAGCAGCUCCUGUAUCUUUGAUACAGGUUUUCUAAACAUAGGAAAAGAGAAAAUGCAGGGAAGAAAUGUAAUUUUACAUUUACAGGGGUGAGGAUCCAUGCAUGUAUAUUUAAUCAAAAAGGUACUCUUUUGAUAUUGAUCAGCAGCUUGGUUUUUUUGCUAUGCAUUCUUUUCCAAAUUACACUAAAUGACCUCUUUUUUUCCUCCUUAAGUAUUUAAGAAAAUAGUUACAGUCCAUUGUAAGAUAUGAUUGAUGAUCAUCAGGAUCAACAAUUAAUUAAGACAAUCAAGAAUAAAUUAAUAGCUGAUGUUCCUCAUCUUUGAGCUACCUAUAUAACAGUAUUAGAGGGAGGGUAAUUUUCAGAUACAAUCCUCAAAUUCUAGGCUCACCUCUGCAAUAAUGUCAGAUAGAGAUUUUCAGACAAAUUCAAAGAAAAUGUUGUGUUUGGAAUACAUAAACAUGUCUGUGUUUGCAACCUCAUAUCUUUCAACUGCAUGAGUGUUUAGUGCUUGCUCUUCAUCUGAUGCUUCAGAGUGCUGUGGUUUAAUAGGCCAGCAUUUCUAAUCGUACUUCAGCCACGGGGGAAGCUGUGCAACAGCACAUUGGAUGGCUUACAUAAGACUACACAGGAAUUGUAAGGCAAAAUAAAGAAAGCACACACAAACCCUGAAACACCCCUAAAGAUCUACUGCAUUCUAGUCUCAGGGUAUUCCUUAAAGCUUACUUGUGGUUUCAAAGCUUAGAAAAUCUAACUUUUCCAUUACAGUCCGACAAAUAUCUGAAAUAGAUGAACAGUGCAAUUAGUAUGCAUCCUUUAGAAAAUAUCCAGUGAUGUGUAGUACUUAUCUAAUCUGAGAAGCUGCUAUUUUAACACUUUGAAUUUUGUGAUUUAGUUUUUAUUUAUUUUGCAUUAUGAGAUGUUUUGUUGCUUCUCCACUUCGUGUCUUAGUAAUUUCCCUCUAGAUAAACUCUGGCAGUUCAGACGCUUAAAGUGAUUGCUUUCCAUCAUAUGAAAAGCAGAGAUUAAAAAACUAAUUUUACCUAACUGUCUACAUUAGUUAGCAAAGUUCGAGUUGGCUAGCAAAGGCACCAGUCUUUCCUGGAAGUGCAGUUCACUAGGGAACUGUGCCACCCCCUUUGGUAGGAUGUGUGUGGAACACAAACUGAAGAACUCCACUAGAAUGUUAACAAAUUCAACGAACAACAGAACACAAAAGCACUCACACUGAACAUGGUACACUUCAGAGAUAAAGAAUGCUGUGCAGGCACAAGUCUCAGAAUUUCUUAUCAUGUUAUGCACAAGCUAGAGAAUCUUCUUAUUAGGACUACAAAUGUAGGUACAUCCUAUUGGGGGGUGUUGUGAAGCCCCAGAAGUACAUUUGCAAAAUUCACCCAGAAUUGGACUUAUUCAACCUCAGAGAGAUCAGUUACUGAUAUCAGAUUGUGAACAAAACACAUAAUAGAAAGUGCAUGCAUGCGUUUGAAGUGAGCAUUGUGCUCAAAAACUGCACAAACAAGUUUGUGAGCACAGCUAGAGGCAGUUGGCGGGACAGCCAGCCUUGGGUGUGCACAUGCUCAUGCUUAUUAGUGCAGCAUCGUAGGGAGGAGUGGAAUAUAAAGAGGUAUGCAGGCUGACUGUCUAGGUGAUGAAUACCUGGUGGUGAUGACUGAGAAUAUUUUAGCAAUAAUUCUAAGUGCUGUUAUUAAUUUUGUUUAACUACAGGACAAUAUGAUAACUCGAGUGCUUCACUGAAAGUAAAAUGUGCACUUUUCCUUUACUUUACCAGCUGUCCUAUGUGUGCCAGUGAGUUCCUACGGCAAAUCAGAGAGUCCUUGACUAGCAUCAUCCAAAUACACCUCAGCAAUUUCUCUGAUGUGACAGAGCUGACAUGGGACCUAUUAUGAUAAUUCUAUACUGUGAAAGUCCCUGGCGAGUACACUACUGGCAAAGAUGGUUUUGGAAUGGCCUUAUACAGUGGAAAUAAGAUGCAGUAGCUUUUGGUGCUACUGCACAUCACACACUAAUUAUUAUGGGUUGUCAUCCACAUGCAGAAAGUGGUACUGUUUCCCUCUUAAAUAAUCUAUAAAUCUGCAGUUCACGGCCUAUCCGCACUUAAAAAAAUGACACAGUGCUGACAGCAGAAAAUCACAAACAUCUCAAGGAGGACAUUUCUGGUGUGUGCUUUUGAAGGACAUAGGGAUUUUAGCAAUGAUGCAAGCAGCUCCUGCAUUUUCUUCUUGUUUUUAACCAGACUUGCUUGUUCUCAGGAAAGUAUUGUAUGGGAAAUGCACAGAGAUGUGCAAAUGAUUUAGCUUAAUGAAGCAGACAUGCUGCAAAACUUAUGCAGGCUGACGUCACAAGACUCGCUACAUGAGAUAGAAUCGCAUAGCUAUUACUAUGUAAAACUGCUAUGAGGCAAAGUCAUUUAUCCAAGACUUUCCAGUAAACAAGAGAAGUUCUGAGCUUUGUGGCCUACUAUUGCUAUCUAACUAGAAGGUAAAGAUGAAAACUACCAUCUAUUUCACUUGCUGAUCUGCUGCGAGAUUACUCCACAUCUGACAGUGCAGAGUUAUUAUGGGAAGGGAAGUCUGUGAGAAAUUGAAUUCCUCAUACUAGUUUUUAUUAGUAGCAAUCCAAGAGAACAGAGACAAACAUAUUCAGCUGCAGAAAUCUCAACCACAGUCAGAUGAUGAAUGUUAGGUCUAAUCUAGCCCUAACAUUACCCUACUUUGCAAUCAACUAGAAUGAAAAAAUGAAAGGGAGGCAAAAUACUACGCUGAUCACUGUCUGAGAUUAUGUUAUAUGGGGAUGGAGAUGAAGUAUCUGCCGUAUUUGGGACUUUUAUUCUUCAAGCCUUACGUGCUCCUGUGGUGUCUGAUAAAUAAUAAUAAAACCAAUCAAAUAACAACAACAAACAACCUGAGUAUUUUUUUCAGGAAAAGAAAAACUAACUGAACAGAUAAUUGCCGAGGGAAAAAGGUUUGUAAAUAAUAAAAAGGUUUGUAAAUAAUAUGCCAUAACUAAUUUAAGAACUGAAAGAGAAGAAAGCCCAUUUAUCUUAGUUUCUUGGGUUGCAUUUACAAUUCAUGGCAUGACUGUGCAGUCUAAUCUUAAAAUAUGAGGCUGCUCCAGCAAUAACAUCUCCUAUUUAUUUCCAUGAAAACUAAAGCAGAUACAAAGAGCACGAUAGCACUAUUUGAUACAACAAGUUCUUGGUGCCGAAAUACUAUUUUUUAACAGUCACCACCAUUAGAUACGCAUGUUUGCGAGCAGUGAGCAAGGGCCAGCACAUUGCUCUCAUAAAAAUCAUUAAAACUGUGAUUAUUUUUUCUUAUUAUUGUUUACAAAUACCAAAAAUGAGUUAAAGUUCUGAUGGAUUUGACUGCUUGUGAUAUAAGGCGUUAGAUGGAGGUAUUCUACACCGUAAUUUAAUGCACAGCAAAUCUUGUUAACUGCAAAUUUUGUACUGUUUCCAAAGGAAAUUACAGAUGUGCAAGUUACUUUUACAUGUGCUAAAUCGGAACCUCUCUAAUUAGAAUUCCAUUUGACUGCAUUUAUCUAUAAUUUCACAGGUUGAAUAGCUUGUGUAUGCUUUCCUAAUGAGACUAACUAGUUACUUCAGAAAAAAAAAAAAUACAUAAAAUAGUUACAAUCAGGGAAGUGACAGGUAUUUAUCAGAUCUGGCACUUCAGUGGUUCUUUCUGUCUAUAACAGGCGUCAGCCUCAUCCUUUCUCUAUCAUGACCACCCAGCUGACUGUCCCAGGUACAGUGAAUCUAAUUUGGACAAUUCAGAACUAUUCUGCCUGAAUCCUUUGUGGGUCUGGACCACUGUCAUCAAAUCAAAGACUUUGAUGUAAUACUGUUGCACAUAACUUGCUUUCCUUUCAAGUUUUUGUUGUUGAUGUUUUUUGGUGCUUUUUAAAUUAAAAAAAAAUUGCUAUAACUCAUGUCUCUAUACUCUGCUAUAGUUAGUACAUUCAUUUUAUUCCUUAUCUAAAUACUACUUUUUAACAUGACAGGUUUCAAUGUCUCAAAAAGGUGUCAAUUUCUUCAUAAGCUUUCAAAACAAGUAGUUAAAAACAACACAUUUGUGACUACCAACUGCAUGCACGUGUACCUAUCUGUGGAAGGUGAAUUCCAAAAUUAGACUGAGAUCUUCAUAAUUUCAAAAUGUUUUCUGACACAUUAGUCGAGUAAACGUGAUUUUAUAGAAAUAAAUACAUAUGGCACUUUUGGAAGUGUUUACACAGCAGACUAUCCGUGGGCCAGGGAAGCAAUUGUUACCUUGGUUUUUGUGCUAUUCAACUAAAAUGAAUGAAACCAACAGCUAGGCUUUCAAUUCAAUUCUGUCAUGAAUUUGAAAAAGAAUAUGUUAGUGUUUAUUCUGAUUAGCCAAAAAUAAUUCUUAACAGGUGUAGAACUGUAAUUUUUACUCAUCCAUAUGAUUGUUUGACACAAGAGCUAAAGGCUAAGAUUAGUAAAAUAUUGAAACACAUUUAUGUCGCUUUACUACCGAGUGGACUUGAGACACUUCUAAAGUCAUCUUAAAUAUAAAAGGAGAUAAAGCUAAGCAUAUUCUGGACUGUUGAAUAGCUGCUCUUGUUAAAAUAAGUGUCUAAUCCUGGAUACAAGUAAGCCCUCAGAGAUAGUCAGAAGAGCACUUAAAAGAAUGUUUUGUAGCUUUUAAUACAUUCUGAAAGACUUCACGCUAUCUGCCUAGUAAAACAUUUCAAUGUAGAGAGUCGACUGAGUGCCCAAGCAUAGCUCUUUUUGAUUUUUGUUGAUAGGGAAUUACACAAAUGCAUCAAUGAAGAUUAGUAGGAAAUGUGACUGUUCUUAGUUUUAGAAAAUAUGGUCAGGAAUAAUAAAAGAUGCUUACUAUCACAAACCUCAUAAGAGAAUCUCUCUCCUUCUUUCUUCUGCUCAGUGGAUUGCAAGUUAAAGGCAUUAGACAAAGACAUGACACAUUACAGACAAAGCACAAGGCACAUAUUCUGCACAAUAUUCAGAUAUGGGCAAAACAUACUGAUACAUAAAAAGGCAAAUUAUGAUCCAAUACAAACAUUAAAGUAAAGCUGGCACUACACACUACAACACAAAACACCCACUGCUGGUAGACCUUUACAGAUCAUUAGCAUGUUUCUGAGAAAUAGUGCUAAGUCUUUCUGGCAUUCUCAGAGCAUUAAACAGUUAUUGCAUGUACUACUUGCUAAAUUUUGAUUUUCUUGGCAAGCAGAAGCAAAGGCUGUUGCUGGAUUGAAAACGUGGUGCUAAUGAUCUCUAAGGAACAUUGAAAGAAAGAGGAAAAGUUACCACUCACCUCCUUCCCUCCCAUGGACUCAAACAUUUUUUCAAGCUGCACUCGUAACUGUUGAAUGUUGUUCAUCAAGAUACAGGGCUACAAAGAAAAAAAAAAAAGAUAACAUAUGAGAAAUAGGCAUGCUGUAUUCAGGCAGCUGUGCUUUUAGAGGAUGAUCUGUGUUUCUUGACAUGUGCAGCUUCCUCUUCCUGCUUUAUUUCACACUUGCCCAGUUAGUACAUCCACUCUGACAGGGACUGCCCAUUAUGCCUUUAAGAAAAUGUUGCCCCACAGGAGACUGGGUCCCUUCUCCCAAGGAGUUGGGCAGUUUUCAGAUCCCAGUGUUUCAUCAAUUGCAUUCAAUUAAGUACAAUUAAUCAAGAAGUGCACUGUUAUCUAUUUGAGAACAGAUGCAGUAAUGGCCAAAGUACUCUGGGAGUGAAAAUAGAUGAGAGUAGAGGGAGUACCAGAUUACUUUCUAGAUGCAGUCUUUGCAAAGAGCUGUGACAGCACUGGAACUCAGAAAAUGUCUGAUGCACAAGUAUAUGAAUAAAUCAACAGGCAAUACUUUCAACUACAGAAUAUUAUUCCAGACCUGUAAUAUUUUUCUUGGUCCAAAAUUCUGUGAAUGGGCAAUACAAUUUUGUAAACACUUUAGUCUAAAAAUAUUGCUGCUUAAGCUAAUUAAGGCAUAACAAAAUCACAGUGUAAAGGACAGCAAUUGCUUGAUUAAUAUAAGGUAAACAGUAAAGCGUAGAUGAGAUUAAGCAUCUUAUUACAAAAACAUGGAAGAAAUAACCUCUUGAUAGAUUUUUAGUUUGUUCAGAUGACAUUAUAGGCAAGUUUAGAAUUGUGUGGGAGGAGCAACAAGACAGCACUUGUGAAAGUAAUUCUGCUUGGCCAAGGACAGUGUGUUCUAGUGCUUAAUUGGGAUAAUCGAGACAUUGAAGUAAUAUAUUUUAAUGAAAUAGAUACACACUUUUCCAAACAAGAAGGUAAUAUAACAAUUUGAGCAACUGAUAAUCAACCGUACCUUUCUGGCUAUUAGCAUGUUUCAGUGUAAUGCUGAAACGUGGUGGGACUAUAUUUUGUAUUGAAAAAGUCAGGAACAAAAUUUAGCUUUAGCUACUGCAAUUAUGCUCAGAGGAACUCAGGGUCGUAAGCCCUUCUCAAUUGAAGUAAAAAGAGAAAUCUGAUCUAACUUCUUAAUCUUACAUUACUGCUUCUUACUCAAACAUGCUAUUUGCCCUCCACCGAAAAACAGUUGGUGGUGGGUAAUGGUUGAAAUAUUGCCUCUUUCCAGUCUCUUCAGAAAUCCACAAACCCCACUUCUAGUUACUUAUCUACCUUCUGUUCAUUUCAGAUGACUAAAAUUGUGUCUGCCUCUCCUUAGCCAUAUCUUCCUUUCUACCAUAUUCAUUAUUCUAGAGACUAUCUGCAAUAUAAAUCAGUGAUUAUGAUUUCUGAUGAGACAAAAAACAGUUGAACAAAAUGUCAGGGUUCUCUUGUUUAAAGCAAAUGGAAAUGCCUUUGCCAAUAUAGAGAAGCUAUGAGAUAAAUACUUCAUUAAUGAGGCAUUUUAAACAUUUUCUUUUGGGCUGGCUAAGGUGGCUCUCUCAGUGCCUACACCUACCUUAGCCCAAUGCAAAAUAUCUAUUGCUAUUAGUAAAUAACAGAACUGGAGCUUAAAAACUGUUUUUUUACUUCAAUAUGUUAUGUCCUUCAGAACACCCUUUGCAGCGAAUUAGAGGAAUCAGGCAGACAGAUGAAACAAUGUGCCAAAGAGAAUAGUGACUACCAUGCAUAAAAAUCAGGUUUGUUUGUAAACUCUGACAAGAGCUGGAAGAUGAGGGGAUGUUUUUACAUUAUAUGCUUCUUUAUGAAAAACACCUCUGGUAUGUUUUCAUCUGAACAGUUGACACAUACAUGUUAUAGUGCAUAGUGAAAAUACUGAUUUGAAAUAGAGUUCCAAAAAUGCAAUUAUAAUUAUGACGAGUAUAAGUUUAAAUCUCUUCUGUCAAACCAAAUGCAGAAGAUGGGCUUUUAAUAUAACUGAACUCACUGGAUCAAAUGAUCCUUUAUUAAGCUAGAAGCACAUGUUUCAAAAUAACAGAUUCUACUAAAAGUAAGUUAUCCCCCCUAAAGGCAUUUUUAUAAUCCUUUAUGAUAUAUAUAUAUUUUAAUAUUACAAUAAUGUAAUUAUAUUUUUUUCCAUCUAAAUCCAUAGAAAAGUUUGGCAUCCUACGUUGGUUUCAGAAAUCAACUACUAUUAAAAAAAUCCUAUUGUACAGGCCAAAAGUCUACACAGUGUGACUCAGUAGCAGAACACUAUGCAUUACAGCUCAAUUCUUACAGAAAAUGGUAAAGUUAAUUUUAGUAUUAAAAUGGAAGAAGUAGAAAAUACAGCUACAAGUUUUAGUUCAUUUUACAUUAGAGAACAGUUAUGGCUCAUACUGGUUCAUUAGCCCCUUGUAGGCUAUGAUGCAACAGAACAGCACAUGACUUUCUCACUGCUGCAUGGAGAUUGGCAGUAGCAGAAAAGUCAGCACAUAUUCUUUGUAUAGGAAACUCUUCCAGAAAUAUUACUGGUAAAGAGAGGUGAGCCAAUGCAGAAUGAAAACUAAGGUUUUUUGUUUGUUUGUUUGUUUGUUUUGUUUUGUUUUUUUUUUGCUGGAAAAUUGGAAAUAAAAUAUGGGAUGGCAAUAUCGAUUACUUUCAUAUUUGGAGUAUACCACUGUAUAAGACAUCUAGGUAGAAACAAAACACAGCUUUGUACUCACCACAUUUUCUUUGUCACAGUAUGAACUGAAGUAACUUGAAAUAAUUGCAGCAUACUGAAGCAGCACUUUGUUGAUAGUCUAGGAGAAGAGAAGAAACUUUAAUAAAUUUCAUCAUGUAAAACAAACAAAAAAAGAACAAAGUUUUUUUAAUGAGCUAUAGGUUUUACAGGUGCUUACACGUUUUGUGUAUUUUAUUUUACUUUAGAUAUCAUAUAAACUAUCCUGUAAACAAACUUUCAAAUCCUUGCCGGAAAGUCUCUAUGUUAUCCUUAAUGGAACGCAGUUUUCAAUAGCAGAGGGAUUGCUUCUGAACGACACUGAAAUUAGCAUUUAAAUACAAUGGCAACACAAUAUCACUCUCUGAAGUUUAGUUGAGAUGCAUUGAUUUUAAUCUACCUUUGCAAACCUUCUCAUUAAAUGAGACAGUGCUUCUGGAUUAGGACACUCCAGUUUCCUGAUAAUCUCAAAGCUUUGAUUGAGCUGUGUGAAGACGUCAACCACUGAACAUGAAAAAAGGGCAUGGUCUGAUGUUUGCUGAAACUAGAGAAAGAAAACAUUCAAAUAGUUAAUACUUGUCCAAACUGUAUAAACUGAUUUUCCUACUUGAAACGUUCUUUCUAGAGACAGGAAAAGUAUUAAAUAAAAUCUUACUGCUAAUACAGAGACUUUUCACCUUUAUAGGACUUUCAGUCCCUUUAGAAAUAAAAGAAAAAUUCUCUUUCAUGACAUCAGUAUCACAUCAGAGUUUAACAAAACUCUGAUGGAAGUCAGUGGGGAGCUUAGACAGAUAAAAUUAGAGCAGGAAUUUGUGCACAGGGUUGUCUUUUCAUACAGUUUUUUACGGUGCAUCUUGGGAGGUCUUAAUGAAGAUACUGCAGGAUCAAGUGUACCUCUUGUUUUGCAACACUAAUUAACUGCCUUGCCUUAGUACAUUCUUUUUCUUUUAAAAAAUAUGGACUCACUCCAUCUUUUUUGUCUCUUUCCAGUGCUCCGUGAAGAAACUCCAUUGAGACAUCCUCAUUUUCAUCCAGCCACUGAAUGACAAAUGGUUCAAACCAUCUGAAAAUUAAAAACAGUCUUCUAAAGUAACUACAUUCCUUAAAGAUUUGUCACUGCGUCUUCAUGUCUGUUAUAGUUGCCAUAAGAUACUGUGGCUAACAAAACACAUUUCAGCUUAACUGUGCUAUUCAAUCUGGCCUUCCCCAGUGAUGUAGAAUUUGUAGUGGCCAUCAAAGGAAUGCAGUUAUGUUUUGCAGACGAUCAUAUUCAUAUUUAUUUUAUAACGUGUCUUUUCCAGUAUUGGUUCCUUUUCAAUAUUUAAUUGCAUGUGAAAGAAUGUGGAGAAAGCUUCUCUUUAAUAAAAUGUCAGAUGUUUAAUCUUU
This is an RNA transcript of Gallus gallus (chicken), 18959 nucleotides long. RefSeq lists it as uncharacterized. NCBI's taxonomy places the organism in Eukaryota, Metazoa, Chordata, Aves, Galliformes, Phasianidae. The transcript has 10 exons. The record is from RefSeq and is a predicted model, not a curated record.